Molecule: long non-coding RNA, 2878 nt
Organism: Uranotaenia lowii
Lineage: Eukaryota; Metazoa; Arthropoda; Insecta; Diptera; Culicidae
Exons: 6
Source: RefSeq, a predicted model, not a curated record
AAAAAGGAAUGAUCAAAACAAGAAAAAUUUCACCGUGAUGGAGCAACGUGGUUUCUGUCUUUUCGUAUUUCCGGCUGGUGAAACUCCGAAGCAGGUACUGGACGUUCCCGAGAUAGGUAUGCUGAAAUCGGGAAUAGUCUGCACCUACUGCGCAGCCCCCUCCGCUUUCAUAGACCGAUGGUGGUUCUAAUUUCCUGGCCCGAGAGGUUUGCCACACGGAGAACGACGGUUGGCUUGAUUCCUUCCCUGCCCCAGCCAAAGGUGUUUUAUUUCUCUGGGAGGUACGGAAAGCCAGGGGUUCGAUGACGUGUUUCGUGUGUUGGCUACCGCCAAAAUAACUGUGUGAUUUUAGACGACGUUGACUACUUGCGCAUCACCUUUGUGACAGUGCACGGAUGUAGCUGCAUUUGACGGAACUGAUGUCACUCUUCACUCAGGCAAGGAUCCAAGGCCGAAUUCUAGAUUUGUACCAGCUUCGCCAUCCAGUGACUCUACGGAUUCCUGCAGAGUUGGACGUAUCCCGAACUUCCGCCAGAAAUCGUAGCCCAGGAUGCAUCGCCGGUUCAAAUCGGGGGCGACAAGUACGGACAACAACCUGGUGACCCCAUUGAAGGUGACCGGGAUAUCUACGGCCCCUAUGACCUCCAGAUGUUGGCCUCCAGCUGUUGAGAGUUUGAUGUUGGAAUCGAGUUGACGUUUGCGGCUAACAUGGCGAUUCGACAGUCCUCGCGGGUGUUCCGGAACAGCAAAUCGAACCGACGUUUUUCGUCCCACGGAAUGGAAAGACUACGGAAGAUCCGCACCAUGUCCAGGUAGUAGUCUUGGAAUUUCUCCCUGGCUCCCUGUCGACGGUUACAAGCCUGCCGUUCGUAAACGUAGUCCAUGUCUACAGGUCGAUACGCAACAACCGCUCGCACUGGCUGCGCGUCAUGCUCGGAUCGAACGGAAUUUUCCGGAUGUUAAGCUCAUGCUCGAGUUCAUCGAUGGUGAGAUGAGCUGGGUUCAACGCGUGGUACUGCGAGAGAAGGUGUGACAUCUCCAUAGUUUUAAUAUCACAGGUGAAUAAAAUUUACUUUGAAUUUACUAAUUUUCCUAAUUACGCUCCACAAUUUUUAAAAUCUAAGCUAAAAAGUACAAAAAUAAGCUUUAACAAAAAUUUAUCCAAUCACAAACGAUACAGUACAAUGCGACUAGAAUAAAACGUUUGGGUAGUGGGUUACAAAACUAUAAUAAAUUAAAAUUUUCAAAUUUGACUAUUAAGUUUAAGAAACGUAAGCACAGACAAAACAGUUUAAAAAAACGACAAUCAAAAUCGAAUAGCAAAAGUUGACUAGUAAUAAGAUGAGGGGAAUAAAAUUGAUUGGGUUUGGGUUCUUGUUUGAAUUCUCUUUUCCACCCCCCACCGAGAAAGAAAAUUUUCCGGAUUUCCGAGAAAAUUUUAUCUUCGACCUAAAAUGUUUUUCAAAACGUUUUCAACUAGUUGGUUACUAUUCGAAAUUUCUUUGGAUGUCCAAGACCCCUCGAAUCGGAAACAAAUCGAAUUCGAACUGGUUGUUUCCCACUAGGUGUAGUGUGUUAAGGCAAAUUUCCAAGAGGUUCUGGGCGUUUUCCCAGAGACCCAAGCAGAAGUGGCUUCAGAGAAAAGUGUCUGCCGAGCGUAUCCAAAUCGCAAAAGCAACUUUUACGUUAUGGGCGCCAAGUAUAACAAAUGUGUCGGCUAGCGGGUUCAGCGGUGCUGAAACUCCCCUAUAUAUGCCUCAGGGUCGGCUUAAGCUAAGAGACGAUUCGGCUAGCCAAGAAAACACCUUAUCUGCUUUGAAACCUCCCACGUUUAUUUCUACCCUGGUUUUGGUAAGUGCACACUUGGGACAACGUCCCCCCCCUUAUGUCUACCUCCUACCUCGUAUCUGCAAUGGCACCACGGAUGCGUCGGUUGAACGGCGAUACACCUCCUUCGUCUAACCGGCCUGACGGUUUACCAAGCCCAAUACCGGACCAAGUUGGUUGUAGGUCGGUAACCUCAGCUGCGUUGUUGACGAGCUGACGAUCUUGGGAAACACCGGCGGGAGACCUUCACAGCAAUCACUGACCGAUGCUCGGGUAGUUGACGGACCGAAGCCUCGGUGGCUGACCGUAGGUAGAUUUAGGCGGUAAUAGCGCUUCGCUGAGUUAUGGCCACUGGAUUAGGGAGCGAUGGCAGCAAUGGCGGAUUUCACUCGGGACGAACAACACCUUUCACAAAGGUAAAACCUCGGGGUCCUAUGGGGUAUCAGGAUGGGGUAUUAGAAUGGCGUUGAAGAACGGUUGUCACAGCUGCUACAGGGCAUGGUUCCGUAUUUACCUGGAUACCCUGGAAUCUAGCACUUCCGGAUUCCGUGUUUUCACUACUAGCACAAUAUAUAAGCGUAAUUUGCGCCGUUGCGUGCUGGCGUCUUUGGCUACUGCAGUGAAAUGGCCGAUUUAUGGCAGGUCAUUGGCCCUGUAGCCGCGUAUAAUGACUUGAGACGUCAUCGUUCUUUCGCCCCAUCCUGAUACUCGAUUCGCCUCGCCUUUUCGCCGCAUUAAAACAGCGCCAUCUGGUCGUGAGGUUCAGAACUUGCCGUUGACAGUUGCUUUUCGGGUUGGUGCGUAGGGGUUCAGGGGUGGACUCCAACGCAGAGCGAUUCCUCCACAAAUACAGUGUCUUCUUGGCACAUUUACACAUUAUCACGAAUUAGAGAUCAACAACCACUGACACUACUAACCGAGCACUUGUUACAAAUUUGAAUUUUUUUGCUUGAUUACUUCUAUACCAAGAAAAUUGUUUUGAACCCCCUUCCCAUUUCUUAUGUACCCAUUGGAAAAAAUAUGGUAUUUCAAAUAAUCAUAAAACCAUUUC